This 438-nucleotide long non-coding RNA is filed under the name Pongo abelii (Sumatran orangutan). RNAcentral's name for it is "lincRNA". The record is from RNAcentral. Lineage: Eukaryota; Metazoa; Chordata; Mammalia; Primates; Hominidae.
AAACUGCAGUUGUAAUCCAGGAUUCACGGGCCUGUAGGGGCUCAGACUUCAAAUUGAACCGCGCCUCGGCGGCAGCCACAGGUGUAAUACACGAGGCCCAGGUACCAGAAGGUGUCCAGCAGGGCCUUGGCUGCGCCCUAGAAGCCGAGGUCCAGCCGCUGCGCGCCCAGGUUCAUCUCAUUGGUGGACGCUGCGGGCCCGCGAGUUCGGAGCAGCGCGUGUAUCUGUGGGUCUUUGGGGCUGGCCUCGCUAGCCUACCAGCUUCCUUUCGGUGAUGUUGCUACCGCCAGGCUCCUGACCCCGGCUUGCCGCCGAGCGCCCCUGGCGCCCGUUACCGAGGUGGCUGCGCAGAAGGAGUGGCUGUGGGGCUGUGAUCUCUCCUAGAACCUCAGAGGCAUGAAGCUAGAAUAUCUUCCCCUUCAAGGAGAAUAAGCCAAG